CGGUGAUAAACCGGAGGAAGGUGGGGAUGACGUCAAAUUCCAUCAUGCCCCUUAUGGCCUGGGCUACAAACGUAAUUACAAUGGCGUAUACAAAGGGAUGCGAAAGGGUGACCUGGAGCAAAACUCCAACAAAGUACGUCUCAGUUCAGAUUGGAGUCUGCAACUCGACUCCAUGAAGGCGGAAUCGCUAGUAAUCGCGGAUCAGCAUGCCGCGGUGAAUACGUUCUCGGGGUUUGUACACACCGCCCGUCAAACCAUGAGAGUUGGUAAUACCCGAAGCCGGUGGCCUAACCUAGUAAUAGGAGGGAGCCGUCGAAGGUAGGAUCGAUGAUUAGGGUUAAGUCGUAACAAGGUAGCCGUAA
RNAcentral lists this ribosomal RNA (362 nucleotides) under uncultured Erysipelothrix sp. RNAcentral's name for it is "bacterial SSU rRNA". It matches the Rfam family "Bacterial small subunit ribosomal RNA", at positions 1153 to 1505 of the family's 1533-position model. Lineage: Bacteria; Bacillati; Bacillota; Erysipelotrichia; Erysipelotrichales; Erysipelotrichaceae. The record is from RNAcentral.